Molecule: long non-coding RNA, 978 nt
Filed under: Heterocephalus glaber (naked mole-rat)
Lineage: Eukaryota; Metazoa; Chordata; Mammalia; Rodentia; Bathyergidae
Description: lncRNA (ENSHGLG00100044222.1)
Source: RNAcentral
CUUAGCACUACUAAACUGUACACUUGAAAAUGGAUAUAGUCGUAAAAUUUAUGUUAUCUGUAUUUUGUCACAAUAUUUAAAAAAUCACAUUCCCUGAAUAGCAUUUUUGAUUUCUGUAAUAUGGACAGAGACAGCAGAAUUAAUCUGGAUUUAAGUGAAAAGCCCACAUUCUAUUCCUGGCUUUGAAUUCAAACAAGUGUGACAUCCAAGAUUGGUUGAUGUCUCUAAACCUCAUCUCACUCAUAUGCCCCUUGAAUUCAUUCAUACAGGUACCUGCUUAGGUUCUAGGUCCUACUUCCGGGAACAGAGAUGAAUAAGAGGUGGCUUUCUGGGGAAGCUUGAUCUAAGAAAUCAUCUCUGAGCGUCUCUGGGAAGCCCCAAGGGACUCAGCAGGGGUGGUACUCCAGGCACAGCAGCAGUAUGCCCCAAAUUCCAAGCAAACAGGGGCCUAAGAAUUGUAGUGUUGAAGCUGGGCAGCAGAUAAGGACAGCUCCAGGAGGCAGCGCGGAAUAUACACCUCAAGUCACUCCGGCACAGCGGCAAGAGACCCGGGACGUAGUACGCCAGCUCCUGACAGUGAGUGGGUGAGGACAGUAGGGCUCAGUGAGGACAAACAACAUGAUUAUGGCAACCUGUGGACAGAAAGAACUGCGCUUUAGAGACCUAACUACUCAUGGCUCUUGGCCCUACAGCAGGGUGUUGUCUCUUCAAAUAUUUGACUAUAUCCAAAUCUUGUUGGCACCUUCAUGUACUAGACUCUUCUUCUGGGACAGAGGAACCCAUGAUUUGCCUUCAUCAAAGGACAAACAAAGAGGGUGCCAUCUGUGAAUCAGGAAGUGGGGCCUUACCAGACACUAAAUCUGCCAGUGCACUGAUCCUGGACUUCCCAGCCUUCAGAACCAUGAGAGAUACAUUUCUGUUGUUUCUAUGACAUUUUGUUAUAACGGCCCAAACAGAAUAAACAGGCUUGGAGCAGAC